Molecule: small nucleolar RNA, 139 nt
Filed under: Seriola lalandi dorsalis
Lineage: Eukaryota; Metazoa; Chordata; Actinopteri; Carangiformes; Carangidae
Description: Small nucleolar RNA SNORA22 (ENSSLDG00000015475.1)
Rfam family: Small nucleolar RNA SNORA22
About the family: ACA22 is a member of the H/ACA class of snoRNA that guide the sites of modification of uridines to pseudouridines.
Source: RNAcentral
UUGCACAGCGAACACCCAAGGAUGCUAACAUCAUGGCUGUCCCUGGUCUCAUGUCUGUGCUACAGUGACUCUGAUCUUUUCCUCUGCAUUAGGAGAGUUUCAGUCUCUCCUACAAUGUAUUCAGCUGAUCAGAACAAAC